UACGAAGGGGCUAGCGUUGCUCGGAGUUACUGGGCGUAAAGCGCACGUAGGCGGCUUUCUAAGUCAGGGGUGAAAUCCUGGAGCUCAACUCCAGAACUGCCUUCGAUACUGGAAAGCUCGAGUCCGGGAGAGGUGAGUGGAACUGCGAGUGUAGAGGUGAAAUUCGUAGAUAUUCGCAAGAACACCAGUGGCGAAGGCGGCUCACUGGCCCGGUACUGACGCUGAGGUGCGAAAGCGUGGGGAGCAAACAGG
Molecule: ribosomal RNA, 252 nt
Filed under: uncultured bacterium
Lineage: Bacteria
Description: partial 16S ribosomal RNA
Rfam family: Bacterial small subunit ribosomal RNA
Source: RNAcentral